RNAcentral lists this ribosomal RNA (767 nucleotides) under uncultured Planctomycetota bacterium. RNAcentral's name for it is "bacterial SSU rRNA". It matches the Rfam family "Bacterial small subunit ribosomal RNA", at positions 528 to 1285 of the family's 1533-position model. The record is from RNAcentral. Lineage: Bacteria; Pseudomonadati; Planctomycetota.
GAGGCCCCAAGCGUUACUGAGAAUCACUGGGUUUAAAGGGUGCGUAGGUGGUCCGUUAAGUCUGUUGUGAAAGCCCUUGGCUCAACCAAGGAAUUGCUUCGGAUACUGGCGGACUUGAGGCUAGUAGAGGUCACUGGAACUGACGGUGGAGCGGUGAAAUGCGUAGAUAUCGUCAGGAACGCCGGUGGUGAAGACGGGUGACUGGGCUAGUUCUGACACUGAGGCACGAAAGCGUGGGGAGCGAACGGGAUUAGAUACCCCGGUAGUCCACGCCCUAAACGAUGCAGACUAGACUGCAGCGGGUUACACCCCGUUGCGGUCGGAGCGAAAUUGUUAAGUCUGCCACCUGGGAAGUACGGUCGCAAGGCUAAAACUCAAAGGAAUUGACGGGGGCUCACACAAGCGGUGGAGCAUGUGGCUCAAUUCGAAGCAACGCGAAGAACCUUAUCCUGGAUCUGACAUGGUAGAAGUAAGAAGCAGAAAUGCCUAUGACCGGUAUCCAAUCCGGAACUAUCACAGGUGCUGCAUGGCUGUCGUCAGCUCGUGCUGUGAAGUGUCGGGUUAAGUCCCAUAACGAGCGAAACCCCUAUCGUUAGUUGCCAGCGAGUCAAGUCGGGCACUCUAACGAGACUGCCGGUGUUAAACCGGAGGAAGGCGGGGAUGACGUCAAGUCCUCAUGGCCUUUAUAUCCAGGGCUGCACACGUGCUACAAUGCCGAUGACAAACCGAAGCGAGACCGUAAGGUGGAGCAAAUCGGAGAAAAAUCG